This 400-nucleotide ribosomal RNA is filed under the name phytoplankton environmental sample. Its description in RNAcentral is "partial small subunit ribosomal RNA". It matches the Rfam family "Eukaryotic small subunit ribosomal RNA", at positions 587 to 987 of the family's 1831-position model. The record is from RNAcentral.
AGCUCUGUAAGCGUAUACCAAAGUUGUUGCAGUUAAAACGCUCGUAGUCGGACUUUGGCGGUUCCGGGAGUGCGCCUCGUCGUGGGGACGCUUCGCAGGGACUGCUUUUGUGGGUUUAGCACGGGAUGAGGGCUGUUUAAUCGGUAACGUCCUUGUGCAACCACUGUUUACUGUGAGAAAAUCAGAGUGCUCAAAGCAGGCAUUUGCCGUGAAUGUAUUAGCAUGGAAUAAUAGAAUAGGACUCUGUCUUAUUUUGUUGGUUUGUUAAGGCUGAGUAAUGAUUAAGAGGGACAGUUGGGGGCAUUUGUAUUUCGGCGCUAGAGGUGAAAUUCUUAGAUUGCCGAAAGACAAACUGCUGCGAAAGCGUCUGCCAAGGAUGUUUUCAUUGAUCAAGAACGAA